This 253-nucleotide ribosomal RNA is filed under the name uncultured bacterium. RNAcentral describes it as "partial 16S ribosomal RNA". It matches the Rfam family "Bacterial small subunit ribosomal RNA", at positions 524 to 776 of the family's 1533-position model. The record is from RNAcentral.
UACGUAGGUGGCAAGCGUUGUCCGGAUUUAUUGGGCGUAAAGCGCUCGCAGGUGGUUCGUUGCGUCGUGCGUGAAAGACCCCGGCUCAACUGGGGAGGGUCGUGCGAUACGGGCGAACUGGAGGCCAGUAGGGGGAUGCGGAAUUCCGGGUGUAGUGGUGGAAUGCGUAGAGAUCCGGAGGAACACCAGCGGCGAAGGCGGCAUCCUGGACUGGUCCUGACACUCAGGAGCGAAAGCGUGGGGAGCGAUCCGG